Molecule: unclassified non-coding RNA, 248 nt
Filed under: plant metagenome
Description: partial contains small subunit ribosomal RNA and internal transcribed spacer 1
Rfam family: Eukaryotic small subunit ribosomal RNA (bases 1-46)
Source: RNAcentral
AAGUCGUAACAAGGUCUCCGUUGGUGAACCAGCGGAGGGAUCAUUGCUGGAAGCGCCGCAAGGUGCACCCAGAAACCCUUUGUGAACUUAUACCUAUAUCGUUGCCUCGGCGCUGGCUGCCUCUCCCUCGUGGAGGGGGCCCGCCUCUGGUCGCAAAAAGCCAGGGGAGGACAGCAGGCCCGCCGGUGGCCUAUUAAACUCUUGUAUUUAUUGAGUAAAACCUGAGUAAAUUUCUAAAUGAAUCAAAA